Molecule: long non-coding RNA, 2663 nt
Organism: Chroicocephalus ridibundus (black-headed gull)
Lineage: Eukaryota; Metazoa; Chordata; Aves; Charadriiformes; Laridae
Exons: 3
Source: RefSeq, a predicted model, not a curated record
ACAAGGUCUCUUUAGCACUGAGAAUGGUCACAGCUCCAGCCCUGCUGUCUGUGUACCCGAACACCAGGAAAAGAUGACACAAACUACCUGUAAGCACCGAGGUGGCCUGACUGAUCCUCUCUUGCAUGAGCAAUUGCUGCACAAAUUGCUUUUGCCACUCUCUUUGUGGGAGAAACGGUUAACGCUUGUCAAACGGUUCCUCGCUGCUACUGAGUGAGCCAGCUUUGUAUGUCCCGACAGUGCCGCUUAGCCCGUGGAUCGCUCUCCUGUUUCUUAGUAGCUUGCUGUUGAAGGCCCUUAUAGGAUGCUAUAUGGUUUUCCUUUGUCUUAUUCCUCGUGCUCACUCAUUUAAUACUGAGUCUCCUCUUCAGGUGGUGUGAGGAGCAGCUGCCUCCUCCCCGGGGCAGCAGGGCUGUGUGCGCCAUGGCACUCACGACCAGGGCGGCUUUCCUCCUGUCUCCAGCUGGACUUAGACGUACACCAUUGCUGUCUUGUCUGGUUGGAUACAAUAAGCACAUAGCCAUCUAAAUCUGCUUGCGUACAGUCUGCAUCUGAACAGAGGAUGGUUACUGCUUCUUUGUCAAGGCACACGGCUCACGGCUCCACUUGAAGAGUCCCUACACGGAAAACAUGCCAUAGCAAGUAGCAGAGGAGCCAAAAAUACUGCAACUCAAAUUUGCAAAUAGACCACAUUUGACAUUAAGCCAGACAAAAUCUCUUCAGAGCUCCUCAGCUACACAUCCUGUUGAUUACACUGUGAGUUAAUUACAUGCAAGAGUACUGGGGCAGAACGUUGUCCUUGAAAACCUCAAGAUGUUGUCAAGAAAAGACAUGCAAGCAAUUGUCUGAUACCUGGAGAACUUAACUGGCUUCUGUCUCAUCUUGAACCUGGGUCUGUGUUUGUGCCAAGUACUCUGAGGAUUGUGUUUUUAAGCAUUUCAUUGAUGUUAACGUGGCUUAAUAUUCAUCAGAGGACCUCUUUUUAAAAGUCUCACCAUGAAUUCCACAAAACCACAAACGAAGUUCUGUGGUAAAAUUGUAAAAGAGGGUUGGCAAGACAAACAGGGUUACCACUUUUUCUUCAUGGCCCCACGUUUUCCUGGUUGCUGUGUGUGACAAGCACCUUUGUUAUGGAUGAGUGGUCCUGCAUGGCAGUGAUGGGAGGACGAGAUAAGAAGCAUGGCUUAGAGAAAAAAGACACCCAUUUUUAUUUUAUUUUUUAACAGCAUGCUAUUGAAGGAAACAAAUGCAAAAGCAGAGAAGAAAAAAGCUAGCACAGUAAGAUAUCUGCUAUUUUCUCUGAACUGCAAACAGGCAUAAAGACCCCUAAGCCAGUAAGUUUUCUAUUCUUAUUUUUUUUAGACCAUGCCAUGACGCCGUGACAAGACUGUGCUUGGAUAUAAUGGACACUGAGGUAUCAGGGAAAAAGGCAUUUGUGCCCUGAGUACCGUCUUAUGAAAGCAACAGGUGUAAACUAGCUGAGGUUGAUUUAGAUAGAGAGUAUGUCCCAGGCAGCACCGCUAUUUGAAUGCAAAGAAAUAGAUCAGGAGGGGAGAGAAAGAGGAGGGAAGUCAGGUAGGUGAAUAAAGAAUACACAUGGAAAUGGAGGAAAAGGGAUGAGAAUCUAAAAAUGGCAGGAAAAUAUCAACAGGGCAAGGAGUAGAAGGAAGGAGAAAAAAAAAGUAUUAAUUUUGAAAAGGGCGGAGGAAAAAGGAGAAAAUAUUUUUGUUUUCUUUUAUUAAAAGUUUGUUGUGAAAGAUAUAUUUACAUGUAGUUGAAAUUAUUUUCAGUGUUGUGUGUGCAUAGAUUUGUGGAUGCUUGCUUAUACCUUAGAUUGCCUAAAUUUGAUUUCUCUAGAGUUCUUGCAUGAGGUGGUUGUGUGCAAUAUUUUAUUAUAUUUUAAGUGUAUUUGAAAGAAAAAUAUUGCUUUUCCAGCGUGAAGUGCAUAGAAGGGGGCUUUGGUUGCAAUCCAUGUAAUUACAGGAUGGAAAAUUCCUCUUGGCGGUGGUGCUGCCAUUCUUCGGUUCCUAUCAUUUACAUUUCAGGCGGUCCUGGAAAUUGUUGCUAGUUUCAUACUCAUUUAAGAAAGUAAGAGCCCCAAACAUAGUCUUUAGUCACCUUUAUUCAUCCUUGAAUUCUAUUCAAAAUUUGCUUUGUGGCAUCACUCAAUACACGUUUACUUAUAUGAACCUCUUUUCCCUCUUUUUCCCACCUUAUAUGAACCUCUUUUCCCACUGACUAUUUUUUAGUGUCCUGGGGUGGCCUUUGUGAAUUUAUCUCGGGGUAAAAUGGACAAGGCUUUUCUUCAUUCUGUUCUUAUUUCAGAGAGAUCACUGAUCUGGGGCAAAAACGGUUGUGGAUGACAAAAGAGAUAGAGAAAAAAUGAUGAAGACCUAUCCGUAUUGCUGAACCAAUUUAAUUGUGAUCUCGGUGAUCUGAAGACUCUGUUUGUGCUGAGCUGAGUCAUUUGCUGACAUUGACUCUUGUUGCAGCAACUCUAAGUAAUUUAAAAUGUCAAAAAAUGCAAGUGAAUAUAUAGAUAAAAUUGAGAUUUUUAAACUUUUGACCCCGUUCACUUUUUUUAAAAAAAAAAAACAAACCAGAAUUAAAACACAUCUUGUUAAAACAUUGAUUUUUGAAUUGGUUUUCAUUUGUAGCCUUUG